GGCGGGGCGGGAACCAGCGGCGGCCCAGCCUGGCCGCCUCCCUGAUGUACCGCCCCGCUGCCCGCCUUCGGGAGGGAACAACGCCGGAGAGAACAAAAACGGAAGAGAGCGUGGUACUGACGAAGAAGGGAAGGAUCCUGGAUCACAAAGACCUUCUGUGGUUUUUCGGAUCUAAGCCAUCCGUCUGACUGAAUAUCUCAGUAGCCACUGUCACGUAUCAAGGCUCCCCAUCGUUGCCAGUCCAUUGCUUUGCUGCCAAAGUUGAACACUUUGGAGAGUGCAGUGGACUCAGCAGCACGGAUCUGAAGCUGUGCAAUGCAAUUCUGCUUCAAUCAGCAGUGGAACUGGUUUUGUUUGAGGCUGCAUGCUGGUGGCACAGAAGACUUGAUAUUUGCACAACUUAAUUUGAAAGAAAAUGGUGCAAGU
Long non-coding RNA from Chroicocephalus ridibundus (black-headed gull), 426 nucleotides. RefSeq lists it as uncharacterized. The record is from RefSeq and is a predicted model, not a curated record. Lineage: Eukaryota; Metazoa; Chordata; Aves; Charadriiformes; Laridae. The transcript is spliced from 3 exons.